GUGCAUUGUCAUGCAUGAAGAUGAUUUUAUUACGGAAAGCAUAGUUCUUCCUUCUGUACCAGGGAAGAAAGUGCUGUCAGAAACUCCACAUACUUUGCAGAGGUCAUCUUUACACCUUCGGUGACCCUAAAGGGGCUGACCAGCUCUCUUACCAUGAUUCCGGGCCAAAACAUGACUCCUCCACUGCCUUGCUGAUGUCGCAGCCUUGUUGGAGCAGGGUGGCUGUCCACCAACCAUCCACUAC
This is a non-coding RNA of Pelobates cultripes (western spadefoot toad), 244 nucleotides long. NCBI's taxonomy places the organism in Eukaryota, Metazoa, Chordata, Amphibia, Anura, Pelobatidae. The record is from the annotation of a GenBank genome assembly.